RNAcentral lists this ribosomal RNA (336 nucleotides) under uncultured Candidatus Sumerlaeota bacterium. Its description in RNAcentral is "bacterial SSU rRNA". It matches the Rfam family "Bacterial small subunit ribosomal RNA", at positions 1045 to 1382 of the family's 1533-position model. The record is from RNAcentral. Lineage: Bacteria; Candidatus Sumerlaeota.
AUGGCUGUCGUCAGCUCGUGCCGUGAGGUGUUGGGUUAAGUCCCGCAACGAGCGCAACCCCUAUCUUUAGUUGCCAUCAGUUCGGCUGGGCACUCUAUGGAGACUGCCACCUAAAGUGGAGGAAGGUGGGGAUGACGUCAAGUCAGCAUGGCCCUUACGUCCGGGGCUACACACGUGCUACAAUGGCCGGUACAAAGGGUUGCGAAGCCGUGAGGUGGAGCGAAUCUCAAAAAGCCGGCCUCAGUUCGGAUUGGAGGCUGCAACUCGCCUCCAUGAAGUCGGAAUCGCUAGUAACCGCAGAUCAGCUACGUUGCGGUGAAUACGUUCCCGGGCCUU